Molecule: long non-coding RNA, 2655 nt
Filed under: Triticum aestivum (bread wheat)
Lineage: Eukaryota; Viridiplantae; Streptophyta; Magnoliopsida; Poales; Poaceae
Description: long non-coding RNA (TAES_LNC028110)
Source: RNAcentral
AAAUCCACUUAUAAAAAACACUGUAAACCACUAAUAAAUACACUGUAAUUUCAACAGUUUUACAGUGUAAAAUCAACUCAAAAAAGUUAACUGCAUUGACAAAAUGCACUGGAACAACCACAUAUACAUGGACGAACAUGGAGAAGCACCACCAGAGAGGGUGAUUCCUCCAAGAUCUGCUACACAAACUUCAACAACAUGGCUAGAGAAGCAGGAAAAACAUAGGUAAACACCCCUUCUCGCCCCCUCCUAUGCGUUCAUCACCUCCUAUCGUCUCCCUCCUGCCUGAAGAAAUCUGGAAGAAAGAACAGAUGAAAAAAGAACAUAAGCACACUAAGAAAGAACCAGCACAGAUCCUAGGAACAACCAGAACAUGGUCGCAUGUACUACUAGUCUAUGAUCACAAGAACACUAUAUACUGAAAACUAGAUGCCCAGAUCAUUGGUUUCUAGAUUUGCAGAAUAGGAACACACUACAGGGGACAAAAACACACUCAAAGAUCACUAGGCUAGCAAUUCCAUUUAGGGGACAAAUACAAGGGACAAAAACACACUACUAGGCUAGCAAUUCCAUUUAGGUAAAACUAGUUGAAAAUAUACAAGGUUGAGGAUUACUGCAGUUGAGAGAAUAUGUGACUAUUUCCACAAACUUUGGAAACUAAAAAACUAAAACACUAUUAAGAAACUUUGAUCUACUAGUUUAGACACUUCCUGUUGAAUGACCGAAUACAAGUAACUUUGGAAGUGUAAACUGCUAUGAACUGAUACUUGUUUACACUGAAUAUUGAUUAGCAUUAACAUAAACACUGAAAAUAGAAGUUAUCAGAAAAAAUGAGUAACACAAUCAGGCUAAAAACACUAAAGAUUACAGUGUAAAACCCACAAAGAAUUAUAGUGUAACUCUACUAAGAAUAACACUGUAAUCCAAUAAAGAUUACAGUGUAAAUACACCAAAAUUGUCAAUCUCUUUGCUACAAGAAUAGCUUAACCAAAAGGAAGACAAAGUACAAACCAUGUUACAGCAGUACGGAUUGAACCAAGUUCACCUAAAAAAGGGUCCGUGAAAAUUACAUCAAAGCCAAACUCCCCUAGCCUCCUUUACAACCCACACAGGCAAAGCAGCGAGAAAGGAGAAAAAGAACCCAACAUUACAAGGCAAGAAUUUCCCAUCUCUAAUCUAAAACUAACCACACACAAUUAAAAAGGAAAUGACAAAAACCACUAAAAUUACACUAUAAAAUCAACUAAAAUUACAUUAAGAUUUACACUAUAAAUACCGCUGUAAAACCAGCUUGAAUCCACUGUAAAAUCUACUACACUAAGAAAAACACUGAAAAUCCGGUAGGAAUUACAGUGUAGAUCCAGUAGGAAUUACACUGUAAUUCUACCUAGAUUUACACUGAAAUCGACCUAGAAUUACAGUGUAAAAUAUAAUAGGAAUUACAGUGUAAAUGUACCUAGAAUUACACUGUAAAAUCGACCUACAAUUACAGUGUAAAGAUAGUAGGAAUUACAGUGUAAAUGUACCUAGAAUUACACUGUAAAAUCGACCUACAAUUAUAGUGUAAAUAUAGUAGGAAUUACACUGUAAUUUUACCUAGAAUUACACUGUGAAAUCGACCUAGAAUUACACUGUAAAAUUGACCUACAAUUAUAGUGUAAAUAUAGUAGGAAUUACAGUGUAAAUGUACCUACAAUUACACUGUAAUUCUACCUAAAUUUACACUGUAAAAAUCAAGACUCACAGCGAAUGCAUAGUGACAACCGCCAAAUGUCAUUGAUCUCAUAGAAGCAACCUUCAUAGAAUCCUUAAACUUCUUAAUAUUGCCAAGGAGACUCUCAUAUACCAAUCUAGAUAAAUCAUAGUUCAUCACAGAACUACAAUCUCUAAAAAUGUGGAGAUAUUUGGGACUAGGAGAAAGGCUUGAAUUUGGACACAAGAAAGUGGACAAGGCAAUACACAUGAAGCAGAUGAAAGUGUCUUCAUCAGGCAGUUCUUCAGAUUUGAGUGUAUUGCAGAAGAAAGAAACCGGUGGGAUGCUGGUCACAUUGAAAUGGGACAAGAUAAACUCACGCCCAGCCUCAGCAUCGGACAUAAUGGGCUCACCAUCAACAGGAAGAUCUAAGAUGUCAUGUUUGACAUAUUUGGGAAUUGGAAUAAACUUCUUCCUAAUCUGAAUCUCUGAAGCAAGAUCAAAUUUGGACACUACCAUUUGACAAACCUAAGAGGCACCUCUGUCCUCACAAAUUUGAGAAGGCAAUCUGCCCUGUAGCUCUGAAGAACACGGACUUGCCUAAGAGACAAGCCACCAAUAACAGUGGAGAACAACUUGCCAGAGUAUCUAGUGAAUGUAGUGGCUACAGAAAAAUCAGAAGACCUCUUGCGCUUCUACAACACAACAAGAAACACAAACAAAAGAAAAAAUCAAGAUAAUUUACAUUAAAAAGAAACAAAAGAAAGACAUCUAGCAACAACAACUAGAACUAUAUGGAACUAGGUUCUUGUGCAUCAAUGGCCAUUCCACAAAAAAUAGAUAUGAUGAAGAUUACAAAAGGAACUAUCUAAAACUUAUAUCCAUAUCUAUCAUAGAGAAGUUGCAUGCAAAAAAAGGAAAUAUAAACAAAAAAAAUAAAAUACCACAUUCCGAGCUCCAGC